UGGGGGAUAUUGCACAAUGGGGGAAACCCUGAUGCAGCGACGCCGCGUGAGUGAAGAAGUAUUUCGGUAUGUAAAGCUCUAUCAGCAGGAAAGAUAAUGACGGUACCUGACUAAGAAGCACCGGCUAAAUACGUGCCAGCAGCCGCGGUAAUACGUAUGGUGCAAGCGUUAUCCGGAUUUACUGGGUGUAAAGGGAGCGCAGACGGCAUGGCAAGCCAGAUGUGAAAGGUGGGGGCUCAACCCCCAAGCUGCAUUUGGAACUGUCAAGCUAGAGUAUCGGAGAGGUAAGUGGAAUUCCUAGUGUAGCG
RNAcentral lists this ribosomal RNA (308 nucleotides) under uncultured Coprococcus sp. Its description in RNAcentral is "bacterial SSU rRNA". It matches the Rfam family "Bacterial small subunit ribosomal RNA", at positions 355 to 680 of the family's 1533-position model. The record is from RNAcentral. Lineage: Bacteria; Bacillati; Bacillota; Clostridia; Lachnospirales; Lachnospiraceae.